Long non-coding RNA from Mugil cephalus (flathead mullet), 816 nucleotides. RefSeq lists it as uncharacterized. The record is from RefSeq and is a predicted model, not a curated record. Lineage: Eukaryota; Metazoa; Chordata; Actinopteri; Mugiliformes; Mugilidae. The transcript has 3 exons.
AAUCUGUUUCUCACACCUGAUAUCGGUCAUCACGCUGCCCUAAUCUACCUGGUUAGAAUUAUGAUAUGGGAUAAAAUAAAAAAAAAAUAAAAUAAAAAAUCACCUGCACUGGAUGCUGACUUUGAGGAGGUAAAUUCACCAGUAAUUAGUAUGACACAGGUGAUGAUGAAGGGAGCAGAGUUUUGGCAGAAGUUGGAGUUUCCCCAAAGUUGAAGCCUAUUAUUUUUGUGUUGAUGGGUUAAUGUUGUGGACUGGCGCCCAUCUGCAUAUCAAAUGUGACUCCUAUUAUUUUAUGUUCCUCUCCGCUAACAGCGCCUCCCAGCACUACUCCGUGUUCUCCUCCAUCUGCCUCCUGUCCAUUGAUCAGCCUUCCAGGGCAUCAGUCUGUUUAACAUCUGCUACAAGUUCCAGCAGCUCAGAUGCGCGGAGGCUGUAAUGAAGAGCUCUUGAACUCCCAGUCAGGGAAGCUCUGACAGGAGUUCAGGAGGAUGCCUCUUUGCCUUUGCUGGACAUACAACACACACACACACCUGUACACACCCGUGCUCAGGCACACGUGCACUCAGGGACAGCAGCAACAAACAGCUUGUACAGAAAUGAAGCUGUCACUCAUGUGUUGUGUCCCAAAUCGGCAGCUUCAAAAGAGACGGAGAAUACCCCGAAGCUUGGCUGUUAAUGGGAGCCUCUAUCAGCCAUCGUGGAAAGCCUGCCUCAUUACUCACUCCAGCACAACUGUGCCCAGGGUGGUCGAUUUCCCCAACGGACACCGGUUCACAGACCAGAGAGGCACUGUGAGGCAUAUGACUUGUUUUUCAA